This is a non-coding RNA of Fomitopsis betulina (razor strop fungus), 83 nucleotides long. Lineage: Eukaryota; Fungi; Basidiomycota; Agaricomycetes; Polyporales; Fomitopsidaceae. The record is from the annotation of a GenBank genome assembly.
GGGCAUUUGGCACAGUGGUAGCGCGCACGCUUCGCAUUAUUGGUGCCUGCGUGAGGUCCAGGGUUCAAUCCCCUGAAUGUCCA